UACGGAGGGUGCGAGCGUUGUCCGGAAUCAUUGGGCGUAAAGGGCGCGUAGGUGGCCCGGUCAGUUUGUGGUGAAAGCGCGGGGCUCAACCCUGCGUCGGCCAUGAAUACUGCCGCGGCUGGAGCACUGUAGAGGCAGGCGGAAUUCCGGGUGUAGCGGUGGAAUGCGUAGAGAUCCGGAAGAACACCGGUGGCGAAGGCGGCCUGCUGGGCAGUUGCUGACACUGAGGCGCGACAGCGUGGGGAGCAAACAGG
Molecule: ribosomal RNA, 254 nt
Filed under: uncultured bacterium
Lineage: Bacteria
Description: partial 16S ribosomal RNA
Rfam family: Bacterial small subunit ribosomal RNA
Source: RNAcentral